UCUUCAGAUCGUAUAAAUCUUUCGCC
This 26-nucleotide non-coding RNA is filed under the name Gallus gallus (chicken). Lineage: Eukaryota; Metazoa; Chordata; Aves; Galliformes; Phasianidae. The record is from RNAcentral. RNAcentral also lists the same sequence under 4 other names.